Molecule: ribosomal RNA, 492 nt
Filed under: uncultured bacterium
Lineage: Bacteria
Description: partial 16S ribosomal RNA
Rfam family: Bacterial small subunit ribosomal RNA
Source: RNAcentral
AGUGAACGCUGGCGGUAGGCCUAACACAUGCAAGUCGAACGGCAGCACAGUAAGAGCUUGCUCUUACGGGUGGCGAGUGGCGGACGGGUGAGGAAUACAUCGGAAUCUACUUUUUCGUGGGGGAUAACGUAGGGAAACUUACGCUAAUACCGCAUACUACCUACGGGUGAAAGCAGGGGAUCUUCGUACCUUGCGCGAUUGAAUGAGCCGAUGUCGGAUUAGCUAGUUGGCGGGGUAAAGGCCCACCAAGGCGACGAUCCGUAGCUGGUCUGAGAGGAUGAUCAGCCACACUGGAACUGAGACACGGUCCAGACUCCUACGGGAGGCAGCAGUGGGGAAUAUUGGACAAUGGGCGAAAGCCUGAUCCAGCCAUACCGCGUGGGUGAAGAAGGCCUUCGGGUUGUAAAGCCCUUUUGUUGGGAAAGAAAAGCAGCAGGUUAAUACCCCGCUGUUCUGACGGUACCCAAAGAAUAAGCACCGGCUAACUUCGUG